GUCCAUGAUCAUUGGUUCUGAGGUAGAGUUCUUGAUCGUUGAGUACUUAGGUGAUCCUUCUACUUUGGUGGGCUCUAUCUAUCUCCACGCUCUUCCCUUCUUGCCUUUAACCUUGUUGGAGUGCUGUAUAGUUCAUAGGCUUCCUCUACAUUGGCAUACUUUUCUAUCCGAGCUAGCAUCUUAGCGAAAUCCUUCGGAUACCUCUUUUUGAGCAAGAAGAGAAACUGAUACUUUUAAAAUCCACCAUUCCAAAUGGUCAUCACAACCAAC
RNAcentral lists this long non-coding RNA (270 nucleotides) under Elaeis guineensis (African oil palm). RNAcentral's name for it is "long non-coding RNA (EGUI_LNC039155)". The record is from RNAcentral. Lineage: Eukaryota; Viridiplantae; Streptophyta; Magnoliopsida; Arecales; Arecaceae.